UACGAAGGGUGCAAGCGUUACUCGGAAUUACUGGGCGUAAAGCGUGCGUAGGUGGUGAGUUAAGUCUGUCGUGAAAGCCCCGGGCUCAACCUGGGAAUGGCGAUGGAUACUGGCUCGCUAGAGUGCGGUAGAGGAGAGUGGAAUUCCCGGUGUAGCAGUGAAAUGCGUAGAGAUCGGGAGGAACAUCAGUUGCGAAAGCGGCUCUCUGGCCCGGUUCUGACGCUGAGGCGCGAAAGCGUGGGGAGCAAACAGG
Molecule: ribosomal RNA, 253 nt
Filed under: uncultured bacterium
Lineage: Bacteria
Description: partial 16S ribosomal RNA
Rfam family: Bacterial small subunit ribosomal RNA
Source: RNAcentral